This 164-nucleotide ribosomal RNA is filed under the name uncultured bacterium. RNAcentral's name for it is "partial 16S ribosomal RNA". It matches the Rfam family "Bacterial small subunit ribosomal RNA", at positions 391 to 539 of the family's 1533-position model. The record is from RNAcentral.
GCGACGCCGCGUGUGGGAGGAAGGCCUUCGGUUGUAAACCACUGUCGGUGGGACGAGCCGGGUGUCGUCGAACAGGCGGCAUCUCCGACGGUACCACCCAUAGGAAGCUCCGGCUAACUCCGUGCCAGCAACCGCGGUGACUGAGCGGGCUGGCAAGGCGCAUA